Molecule: ribosomal RNA, 812 nt
Filed under: uncultured Pseudomonadota bacterium
Lineage: Bacteria; Pseudomonadati; Pseudomonadota
Description: bacterial SSU rRNA
Rfam family: Bacterial small subunit ribosomal RNA
Source: RNAcentral
AAAGUGGAGCAAUCCAUGAGUAAAGUGGCGCACGGGUGAGUAACACGUGAAUCAUCUACCUUCGAGUGGGGAAUAACUGGGAGAAAUCUCAGCUAAUACCGCAUAAUACCUACGGGUCAAAGCAGCAAUGCGCUUGAAGAGGAGUUCGCGGCAGAUUAGUUAGUUGGCGGGGUAAUGGCCCACCAAGACGAUGAUCUGUAUCCGGCCUGAGAGGGCGCACGGACACACUGGAACUGAAACACGGUCCAGACUCCUACGGGAGGCGGCAGUGGGGAAUUUUGCGCAAUGGGGGAAACCCUGACGCAGCAACGCCGCGUGGAGGAUGAAAUCCCUUGGGAUGUAAACUCCUUUCGAUGGGGAAGAUAAUGACGGUACCCAUAGAAGAAGCCCCGGCUAACUUCGUGCCAGCAGCCGCGGUAAUACGAGGGGGGCAAGCGUUGUUCGGAAUUAUUGGGCGUAAAGGGUGCGUAGGCGGUCUGACAAGUCUGAUGUGAAAUCUAUGGGCUCAACCCAUAGUCUGCAUCGGAAACUGUCGGGCUUGAGUAUGGGAGAGGUGAGUGGAAUUUCCGGUGUAGCGGUGAAAUGCGUAGAUAUCGGAAGGAACACCUGUGGCGAAAGCGGCUCACUGGACCAUUACUGACGCUGAGGCACGAAAGCUAGGGGAGCAAACAGGAUUAGAUACCCUGGUAGUCCUAGCCCUAAACGAUGAUCGCUUGAUGUGGCAGGUACCCAAUCCUGCCGUGUCGAAGCUAACGCGAUAAGCGAUCCGCCUGGGGAGUACGGUCGCAAGGCUGAAACUCAAAGGAAUUGAC